UCCUCUUUGUUACCAGAUUCCUAACAUGAAUGGUGUAGCCCCUGCCACUUCCUCACUCUUUCCUGAACAUCAUACCGUGCAUCAGACAUCUGAAUAUUGCAGGAAUGGGGUACUUACAUUUGUGCAACUUCUAUUUGUUAUCAGUUCUUCUCACCUAUAGCUAAAGCAAGACGACAAACCAGGUGAAUUAUUGGAGUUGCAAGAUACACAGACUCAGUCAUCUUAAUCUUCUUUUGUAAAUAUGACUGCUGGUGCUGCUGGUAACGCUAUCCAUCGGCUUGUAACUCAUGAGAGGCAACCACAGUUGCCAACUUGAAACAUAUUUUUUUAGGAACGAAGAUCCGAAUCACCCUCACCCCUCAAGAGAAAUCGUUUAGUCAUUCAGGUUCUGGAAUUUCUUUAUAGCUUUCUGAAUUUACUUCGGUCUUGCGUGUAUUUGCUUUCUGUUUGUGCCCCUAUCUAUGUCUGUUUCUUGUUGUUUCUUGUGUGCAAGUGCUCCAUUCUGUGUCUGUCUGACUGUUUGUGGCUUGACUCUCUUGUGUGUGUGGCUUGACUGUCUGUGUGGGACUGUGUGCGAAUAUUGCAUUUGACUGUGACGUGUGACUGUGUGUGUGUGACUCUGUGUUUGACUAUGUGUGUGACUGUGAAUAUUGUGCAUUUGACUGUGAUGUGUGUGACUGUGAAUAUUGCAUUUUGGCAAUGACUGUGUGUGUGUGAUUGUGUGUGGCUUGACUCUGUGUGUGGGGGGGGCUUGUAUGUUUUGCUGAAUGAUUGGUUGGUGUGGCCUAACACUGCCUUUGCCGGUCCCAAGCCCGGAUGCGAAAAUGUGGAGGGAGCUGCAGUUACCUCCUUUGUAUUGUUUGCCUUAGAAGUGUGUUGCAUUUUGACAAUGAAUGUGUGUGAUUGUGUGUGGCCUGACUCUCUGAGUGUGUGUGCCUUGUAUGCUUUGCUGAAUGAUUGGUUGGUGUGGCCUAACACUGCCUUUGCCCCGGUCCCAAGCCCGGAUGCGAAAAUGUUGUUUGCCUUAGAAGUGUGUUGCAUUUUGACAAUGAAUGUGUGUGAUUGUGUGUGGCCUGACUCUCUGAGUGUGUGUGCCUUGUAUGCUUUGCUGAAUGAUUGGUUGGUGUGGCCUAACACUGCCUUUGCCGGUCCCAAGACCGGAUGCGAAA
Aegilops tauschii subsp. strangulata is the source of this 1169-nucleotide non-coding RNA. The record is from RefSeq and is a predicted model, not a curated record. NCBI's taxonomy places the organism in Eukaryota, Viridiplantae, Streptophyta, Magnoliopsida, Poales, Poaceae.